This 574-nucleotide ribosomal RNA is filed under the name uncultured bacterium. Its description in RNAcentral is "bacterial SSU rRNA". It matches the Rfam family "Bacterial small subunit ribosomal RNA", at positions 338 to 916 of the family's 1533-position model. The record is from RNAcentral.
CCUACGGGAGGCAGCAGUAGGGAAUCUUCCGCAAUGGGCGAAAGCCUGACGCAGCGACGCCGCGUGGAGGAUGACGGCCUUCGGGUCGUAAACUCCUGUCAGAGGUGAAGAAUCCCCGCAAGGGGUUGACGGUAACCUCAAAGGAAGCCCCGGCUAACUACGUGCCAGCAGCCGCGGUAAUACGUAGGGGGCAAACGUUACUCGGAAUUACUGGGCGUAAAGGGUGUGUAGGCGGCCGAGUCUGUCAAAGAUGAAAUCCCGAGGCUCAACUUCGGAAUGGUCUUUGAAACUGCUCGGCUUGAGGAUAGUGGAGGAGGAUGGAAUUCCCGGUGGAGCGGUGAAAUGCGUAGAGAUGUGGAGGAACACCAGUGGCGAAGGCGGCUCUCUGGUCUGUAACUGACGCUGAGGCGCGAAAGCGUGGGGAGCGAACAGGAUUAGAUACCCUGGUAGUCCACGCCGUAAACGAUGAGUGCUAAGUGUUAGAGGGUUUCCGCCCUUUAGUGCUGCAGCUAACGCAUUAAGCACUCCGCCUGGGGAGUACGGCCGCAAGGCUGAAACUCAAAGGAAUUGACGG